Non-coding RNA from Marchantia polymorpha subsp. ruderalis, 175 nucleotides. The record is from the annotation of a GenBank genome assembly. NCBI's taxonomy places the organism in Eukaryota, Viridiplantae, Streptophyta, Marchantiopsida, Marchantiales, Marchantiaceae.
GCCUCUUAUUGUGACCCUCGACAGAGGAGAGGGCACGGUUGAAUGUUCAAAUUUUUAUGAUCAGCUCAACCGUGCCCUCUCCUCCUUUGCCUAGGGUCACAUCGAGAAUCAAAAUCUGAGUCAUCUGUAUCGUAGUUGAGAUUGUUCGGCUCAACGUCUGAGAUGCUAAGAAGGU